UGNNAGUCGAGCGGUAGCACAGAGAGCUUGCUCUCGGGUGACGAGCGGCGGACGGGUGAGUAAUGUCUGGGAAACUGCCUGAUGGAGGGGGAUAACUACUGGAAACGGUAGCUAAUACCGCAUAACGUCGCAAGACCAAAGAGGGGGACCUUAGGGCCUCUUGCCAUCAGAUGUGCCCAGAUGGGAUUAGCUAGUAGGUGGGAUAACGGCUCACCUAGGCGACGAUCCCUAGCUGGUCUGAGAGGAUGACCAGCCACACUGGAACUGAGACACGGUCCAGACUCCUACGGGAGGCAGCAGUGGGGAAUAUUGCACAAUGGGCGCAAGCCUGAUGCAGCCAUGCCGCGUGUAUGAAGAAGGCCUUCGGGUUGUAAAGUACUUUCAGCGGGGAGGAAGGCGAUAAGGUUAAUAACCUUGUCGAUUGACGUUACCCGCAGAAGAANNNNNGGCUAACUCCGUGCCAGCAGUCGCGGUAAUACGGAGGGUGCAAGCGUUAAUCGGAAUUACUGGGCGUAAAGCGCACGCAGGCGGUCUGUCAAGUCGGAUGUGAUAUCCCCGGGCUCAACCUGGGAACUGCAUUCGAAACUGGCAGGCUAGAGUCUUGUAGAGGGGGGUAGAAUUCCAGGUGUAGCGGUGAAAUGCGUAGAGAUCUGGANGAAUACCGGUGGCGAANGCGGCCCCCUGGACAAAGACUGACGCUCANGUGCGAAAGCGUGGGGAGCAAACAGGAUUANAUACCCUGGUANUCCACGCCGUAAACGAUGUCGACUU
Molecule: ribosomal RNA, 771 nt
Filed under: uncultured bacterium
Lineage: Bacteria
Description: bacterial SSU rRNA
Rfam family: Bacterial small subunit ribosomal RNA
Source: RNAcentral